GACCAGGACAGACAUAGCAGAGGAGGGGUUCAGCACUAGACCAGGACAGACAUAACAGAGGACCAGGACAGAGCAGAGGAGGGGUUCAGCACUAGACCAGGACAUAGCAGAGGAGGGGUUCAGCACUAGACCAGGACAUAGCAGAGGAGGGGUUCAGCACUAGACCAGGACAGACAUAACAGAGGGGUUCAGCACUGGACCAGGACAGACAUAACAGAGGGGUUCAGCACUGGACCAGGACAGACAUAAC
This 250-nucleotide long non-coding RNA is filed under the name Oncorhynchus mykiss (rainbow trout). RNAcentral describes it as "lncRNA (ENSOMYG00000049942.1)". Lineage: Eukaryota; Metazoa; Chordata; Actinopteri; Salmoniformes; Salmonidae. The record is from RNAcentral.